Paramormyrops kingsleyae is the source of this 979-nucleotide long non-coding RNA. RefSeq lists it as uncharacterized. NCBI's taxonomy places the organism in Eukaryota, Metazoa, Chordata, Actinopteri, Osteoglossiformes, Mormyridae. The record is from RefSeq and is a predicted model, not a curated record.
AUAAAAUAAACAAUAAACAGUAAACAUACCGAGAGAUUAUUUAGACAUAGCACAGUAAUAACACCCCAAGAGUGAUAAAAUGAGCGCGAUGGUCAUGCAAAUCCUGUACAUUAGUAAAGGACAUCCACGCAAUUUCAUUCUGGACCUUUUUUCCGUGAAUGUUUACUAUAAAUGAAUCCGUCUGAUGUGAAAAUUGACUGGAUUCAUGUAGCCAGCUUUCGGUUGCAUCUCUAUGUUCAUGGCUUGAAAACAAGCGUUAUGAAAGUCACACACAUUUUUGCAUAAAACAGGGUAACUAUAUCGUAAAUACAGCAGCAACAGCCUAUAGGACGCAAUGAGUAGAUCUACCAUUGCAUUAUAUGACAUUAUUAUAUAUUUAAAACUACUACAUUAACGGUAGUACUGAAAUCUGAACCGUGACAGACACUGACUGUUUACAUGUGAAACACACAGACACCAUGCAAGGCUGGUUGACUAGCCCAGGGCAGGGUGGAUAUAUUCAAUUUUAAAUCGAAGAAAAACAUGUAAUUAAACGUUUCGAAUGAUGAUUAAGAGACUUGUCCACCAUGGCGGCAUCGGGCCAGGAGAGCGGCUGUCUGUCCGGUGACAGGCGAGCGGGCGCGACCGCGACCCAGGCGGCCUAGGCAGCACAGGUUUGUACCUUAGCCUUAAGACCCAUGCCACUUGGAAUAGGGUAUACAGACCCCCGGCCGUCAAACCGGACCAGGAUAAGGAUAUAUGUAAAAACAGCCCAGCAAAAUGAAGCGCUCCGAAGGACCCCGCAGAACCACAGCGAAGAGGAGCCAUGGCGGCCAGUGUGUUCUCCCCUUGACAGGUAUCCUGUGUGGCCUGACAGCUCUGUAUUCCAGUGACACAUGCGGAGCUGCCGCGAGACCCCUGUUCAUUCAGCCUUGGAGCGCGCCGUGGGCUGGUAUCUCAAGGUCAAGUGUGGGAAAAAAGGAACUCAGCAACUCCAGAU